Molecule: ribosomal RNA, 445 nt
Filed under: uncultured bacterium
Lineage: Bacteria
Description: partial 16S ribosomal RNA
Rfam family: Bacterial small subunit ribosomal RNA
Source: RNAcentral
GUGAGGAAUAUUGGACAAUGGGCGCAAGCCUGAUCCAGCCAUGUCGCGUGCAGGAAGACGCAUCUAUGGUGUGUAAACUGCUUUUGUACGGGAAGAAACACUCCCUCGUGAGGGAGCUUGACGGUACCGUAAGAAUAAGGAUCGGCUAACUCCGUGCCAGCAGCCGCGGUAAUACGGAGGAUCCAAGCGUUAUCCGGAAUCAUUGGGUUUAAAGGGUCCGUAGGCGGUUUAAUAAGUCAGUGGUGAAAGCCCAUCGCUCAACGAUGGAACGGCCAUUGAUACUGUUAGACUUGAAUUACAAGGAAGUAACUAGAAUAUGUAGUGUAGCGGUGAAAUGCUUAGAUAUUACAUGGAAUACCAAUUGCGAAGGCAGGUUACUACUUGUGGAUUGACGCUGAUGGACGAAAGCGUGGGGAGCGAACAGGAUUAGAAACCCCGGUAGUCC